Molecule: ribosomal RNA, 497 nt
Filed under: uncultured bacterium
Lineage: Bacteria
Description: partial 16S ribosomal RNA
Rfam family: Bacterial small subunit ribosomal RNA
Source: RNAcentral
GAUGAACGCUGGCGGCGUGCCUAAUACAUGCAAGUCGAGCGAACAGACGAGGAGCUUGCUCCUCUGACGUUAGCGGCGGACGGGUGAGUAACACGUGGAUAACCUACCUAUAAGACUGGGAUAACUUCGGGAAACCGGAGCUAAUACCGGAUAAUAUAUUGAACCGCAUGGUUCAAUAGUGUAAGACGGUUUUGCUGUCACUUAUAGAUGGAUCCGCGCCGCAUUAGCUAGUUGGUAAGGUAACGGCUUACCAAGGCAACGAUGCGUAGCCGACCUGAGAGGGUGAUCGGCCACACUGGAACUGAGACACGGUCCAGACUCCUACGGGAGGCAGCAGUAGGGAAUCUUCCGCAAAGGGCGAAAGCUUGACGGAGCAACGCCGCGUGAGUGAUGAAGGUCUUCGGAUCGUAAAACUCUGUUAUUAGGGAAGAACAAAUGUGUAAGUAACUAUGCACGUCUUGACGGUACCUAAUCAGAAAGCCACGGCUAACUACGUG